AGUGGCGAACGGGUGAGUAACACGUGGGCAAUCUGCCCUGCACUUCGGGAUAAGCCCGGGAAACUGGGUCUAAUACCGGAUAGGACCUUUAGACGCAUGUCUUUUGGUGGAAAGCUUUUGCGGUGUGGGAUGGGCCCGCGGCCUAUCAGCUUGUUGGUGGGGUGAUGGCCUACCAAGGCGACGACGGGUAGCCGGCCUGAGAGGGUGUCCGGCCACACUGGGACUGAGAUACGGCCCAGACUCCUACGGGAGGCAGCAGUGGGGAAUAUUGCACAAUGGGCGCAAGCCUGAUGCAGCGACGCCGCGUGGGGGAUGACGGCCUUCGGGUUGUAAACCUCUUUCACCAUCGACGAAGGUCCGGGUUUUCUCGGAUUGACGGUAGGUGGAGAAGAAGCACCGGCCAACUACG
RNAcentral lists this ribosomal RNA (409 nucleotides) under Mycobacterium avium complex sp. RNAcentral describes it as "bacterial SSU rRNA". It matches the Rfam family "Bacterial small subunit ribosomal RNA", at positions 94 to 505 of the family's 1533-position model. The record is from RNAcentral. Lineage: Bacteria; Bacillati; Actinomycetota; Actinomycetes; Mycobacteriales; Mycobacteriaceae.